RNAcentral lists this ribosomal RNA (1209 nucleotides) under Pterodontia sp. SLW-2002. Its description in RNAcentral is "eukaryotic LSU rRNA". It matches the Rfam family "Eukaryotic large subunit ribosomal RNA", at positions 1903 to 2832 of the family's 3401-position model. The record is from RNAcentral. Lineage: Eukaryota; Metazoa; Arthropoda; Insecta; Diptera; Acroceridae.
GGUAAGGGAAGUCGGCAAAUUAGAUCCGUAACUUCGGGAUAAGGAUUGGCUCUGAAGAUUGAGAUAGUCGGGCUUGAUUGGGAAGCAAUAAUAUGGCUUAUGUACUCGUUCUGGGUAAAUUAGAAUGAAAUUUAUAUUUUUUAUGUAAAUGGAAUUUGUUCCCCGGAUAGUAGCUUACGUAACCAAUUGCGGAACUUUCUUGCUAAUAAUAUAAUUAAAAAUUAAAAUGAAAAUUUGAAGUUUUUAUAUAUUUAUAACGGCUAUCAAUUAACAAUCAAUUCAGAACUGGCACGGACUUGGGGAAUCCGACUGUCUAAUUAAAACAAAGCAUUGUGAUGGCCCUAACGGGUGUUGACACAAUGUGAUUUCUGCCCAGUGCUCUGAAUGUCAAAGUGAAGAAAUUCAAGUAAGCGCGGGUAAACGGCGGGAGUACCUAUGACUCUCCUUAAGGGAACCAAAUAGCCUCGUCAUCUAAUUAGUGACGCGCAUGAGAUGGAUUAACGAAGAUUCCUACGGUCCCAACCACCAACUAGCCGAAACCACAGCCAAGGGAACGGGCUUGGAAUAAUCAUUGGGGAAAGAAGACCCUGUUGAGCUUGACAAUAGUCUGGCAUUGUAAGGAGACAUAAGAGGUGUAGCAUAAGUGGGAGAUUUUAAAAUAUUUUUUUUAAAUUUUUUAUUAUCAAAAAUGAAAUACCACUACUUUUAUUGUUUCCUUACUUACUUGAUAAAAUGGAACGUGUAACAUUUACAUAGCCAUUAUAUGGAUAUUAAUUUAUAUUUAUUUAAAUAUACUUAUAUUUUAUGGUAUUUUGUAUUGUUACAAGUUUCUUGAUAAAAGUGCGUCGAGUUUGUUAUAUACACCAAACAAAUUUUCAAUAAAUUUUUUAUAUAUUAAUUUCUUAGAGAUUUUAUUUAUAAAAUAAUUUAAUUGAGAUUUGGUAUGACAGUUAUGCUCCUGCAUGAUCCAUUUCAAGGACAUUGCUAGGUAGAUUGUUCGACUGGGGCGGUACAUCUCUCAAAUAAUAACGGAGGUGUCCCAAGGCCAGCUCAGUGCGGACAGAAACCACACAUAGAGCAAAAGGGCAAAUGCUGACUUGAUCUCGGUAUUCAGUACAUACAGAGACAGCAAAAGCUCGGCCUAUCGAUCCUUUUGGUUUAAAGAGUUUUUAACAAGAGGUGUCAGAAAAGUUACCACAGGGAUAACUG